AGGGGGGAGGAGGGGAGGACGGAUGGGGAGGAAGGGUGGCCGAGGGUGGCCGGGGUGAGCGCUUCCUGUAUUGGCUAGCUGCUGCCAGGCUUUUUGCAAGGAAACAGGAAUUUGCCACUGGUUUAAAAAUGCUCCCCAAUGGGAGUGAUGGGGUUAUGGCAGGUGCAGGGGUCGAGACAGUUGUGUGCCUUCCGUGGGUGGAUGUAUAGCACAAAAUAAGCACAUCUAGUGAAGCUCUAACACUGCUUAUGCACAGGCGUGUUGUGUAAACCUGUUCAUCUGUCUUGUGAAAUUUUUACGUCUUUCUGUGAAAGCCUAAAGCUUAUAGGAUUCAAAACUAGAUGCAAGGAGGAGUCUCCAGGCUAGGAAGGGAGUUUAAACGUGCCACAUGUCCCUGUCGUAUAGUCCCAGCAAUUGCUCUUGCUAUGUCUGCACAUACAGCAGAGCUGGCUUCCAACCUUGUUUUAUACGUCUUUAGCAAAGCUCUGAGGUACCUCCAACCAGUGCUAGCUGGAAGAGGACGGCUUCUGUCGCUUCUUCAGACACGGCUCUCAACCAGCUGACCAGAACAGUACCCUAAGCAAUGCAAUAAUGGCAGCAGCAGGGUUUGGAAUAGCAGGAUUAGCUUUUCUCUUGGUGGUGCGGUAGGCUGAUGAACGGAUCUUGCAAUGGGAAAGUACUCUCAAAACUGACAAUUUCCAGAUUUCAUUCUAUUUUCUAUAGAACAGACCCUCUAAGAAGAAGUUUAUAUUUUUAAACUGGCUUGGAAAACUGUCUUACCAGAUCCUUGGCUAUAAACUGCUUCACUCGCUACCCAGUAACAGCACAAACAAAUGUGUACUAAACCACCAUUUGUGCAUGUUCAAAACCUGUCGUCUCCAAACAUCCUUUGGACUUUCUUUUUAAAGGUGUAACCUAAACAUUACCAUGGUUCAUGUACUGUAACUUUUGAGUGCUCAAUGUUAUGCUAGGAUGAGUUAUAGUGGACUUGAAACUAAAUCCUCUGUUCAAGAUGUCUUAUUUAAAUGGAGGCAAGUCUCAACUCAACUUCCAUUAAUACUGUAAAGUGAGCUAACGUUGACUGUGAUAUAACAUGGUUUGUAGCUUCAAAUGCAGUGCACUGCACUUGUUACUGAAAGGCAACUCAUUGGUUGAUGUAGAGCAAUUAGUACCCAUGAUGUGAGAGGCAUUAUGGCUUAAUAUAACAUAAGGCUGAUUUCAUUACACUACAAGAAGUUAAGUAUUGAUACAGAACAGUAAUGGCUGCAGUACCAGUUCUUACUGAAAAGAAUUUAAAUAUUAAACCUUAAUUGGUAUAUUGAAAUCCAGUGAAGGCUGGAAUUUCUCUGGAUUUCCCUGACAAAACGAGAAUUUCCAUAUAUCUUAAUAUAUUUUUGAAGUAUUUAUCACCAUAUAAUACCUGUAGCCAUGACAUCUUUAUUUUUGUGUAAAACUUCAUUUUUAAUGCUGGUUCUUAUCACCGUAGCAUGUAUCAAGCAUUGUCUUGUUUGAGUAAUAUUUCACUCAUGCUGUCUAUUUCUUUCAAUGGUUGUACAAAUUGCCUUAUGUUUCUGGUAGCUUUUAACGUUCCUGGGUUACUUAUAGCUUGUACAAUUUUACUAUGGUGACUUCAAAUGGUGAAUAAAUGUUAAGUAUUUUUAUUUUAAAAAGCUAAC
RNAcentral lists this long non-coding RNA (1676 nucleotides) under Struthio camelus australis. Its description in RNAcentral is "lncRNA (ENSSCUG00000014326.1)". Lineage: Eukaryota; Metazoa; Chordata; Aves; Struthioniformes; Struthionidae. The record is from RNAcentral.